This 334-nucleotide unclassified non-coding RNA is filed under the name Hevea brasiliensis (rubber tree). The record is from RNAcentral. Lineage: Eukaryota; Viridiplantae; Streptophyta; Magnoliopsida; Malpighiales; Euphorbiaceae.
CCUGGUCUUUGGAACUCUUCCAUUCCCAUUUCAGCCCCAACAUUCAAAUGAUUUCCUUCCACCUCUUUUUCAAUGUACCCACCAUUUUCUUUCUCUUUUCCAGUGGAUGCCUCAUUUCCUUCCUCUACUUGUUCUUCAAAAUCAUCCUCCUCUUCCUCCUCCUCUUCUUCUUCAUCUUCUUCUUCCAUGUCUUCCCUUUCAUCCUGAUUCACGUCAUUUUCAAUCUCAUCUUUGUCAUUCUUGGCUUCAGUGAUUGCUUCAUUUUCUUCUGCGGAGGCUGCCUCUAUAGAGUCAAAAUUUGAAGCAGAAUCUUUGACAAAACACAAUCGAAGGC